Haliotis rubra (blacklip abalone) is the source of this 1377-nucleotide long non-coding RNA. RefSeq lists it as uncharacterized. NCBI's taxonomy places the organism in Eukaryota, Metazoa, Mollusca, Gastropoda, Lepetellida, Haliotidae. The record is from RefSeq and is a predicted model, not a curated record. The transcript is spliced from 4 exons.
GACAGCAGCUGACAUGUCUGUAGUAUCCUGCCUGCAGCCCAUCAUAUACCAUCAUGUGUGGCUAUCACACGCUGUCUCCCAGCUCUCUGUAUGUUGUGACUGACACUCUGUCUCUCCAUUCUCUCUCUCUCUCUCUCUCUCUCUGUGUUGAGCUCCUACCUGCUUCUCUCCCCACCUCUCAACUAACUGUUGUGACCUAUUUCUCCACAAGUUGGUGAAGGUGAUACUGAUAUGUGUAUAUAUACGUUCAACUCGGCAUCAUUGAAAAUCAGCUUGUCUGGUUAUUGCUUAAUGAUUAAGUAUAAAUGCAGAAAAUAUGAAGGCAGUUUUUUAGUUCAAACUUGCAGGUGUUAUUUCUGUCAGAACACUCAAUAUUACUAUCCCAUCAUAUAUACUGACAAUAGGAAGUCUAGUGGGUGAAGUGUUCACUCAUCAUGUACAAUGUGUGAAGCCCACUUCAUAUUGGAAUGUGCGCUAUCACUUUAGAGCAGUGUAGGAAAGGAAGCUGUAUAGUUAGAGAAGCAUGGAAUGGGUGCUGUCUGUUUAGUACAGUAUGAGAAAGGGUGCUGUCUCUUUAGUAUGGUAUAAGAAAGGGUGCUGUCAGUUUAAAGCAGUAUGGAACAGGUGCUGUCAGUCUAAAGCAGUAUGGAACAGGUGCUGUCAGUUUAAAGCAGUAUGGAACAGGUGCUGUCAGUCUAAAGCAGUAUGGAACAGGUGAUGUCAGUCUAAAGCAGAAUGGAACAGGUGCUGUCAAUCUAAAGCAGUAUGGAACAGGUGCUGUCAGUCUAAAGCAGUAUGGAACAGGUGAUGUCAGUCUAAAGCAGUAUGGAACAGGUGCUGUCAGUCUAAAACAGUAUGGAACAGGUGCUGUCAGUCUAAAACAGUAUGGAAUAGGUGCUGUCAGUCUAAAGCAGUAUGGAACAGGUGCUGUCAGUUUAAAGCAGUAUGGAACAGGUGCUGUCAGUCUAAAGCAGUAUGGAAUAGGUGCUGUCAGUCUAAAGCAGUAUGGAACAGGUGUUGUCAGUCUUAGCAGUAUGGAAUAGGUGCUGUCAGUCUAAAGCAGUAUGGAACAGGUGCUGUCAGUCUAAAGCAGUAUGGAACAGGUGCUGCCAGUCUAAAGCAGUAUGGAAUAGGUGUGGUCAGUCUAAAGCAGUAUGGAAUAGGUGUUGUCAGUUUUAGCAGUAUGGGAAAGGGUGCUGUUUGUUUAGUGCAGUAUGGGAAAGGUGCUGUCAGUCUUAAGCAGUAUGACCGUGAAGGUCCGGGUUAGAAUAUUGAUCUUCAGUAACCCAUGCUUGUAGUAAGAGGCGACUAGAUCAUCACACCAUCCCAUGUUGUCAUCUCAGACAUGACAUCACAGGAUGUCAUCUCAGAUAUGAC